CCACCCUUUAAUGUUUGAUGUUCUAACGUGGACCCGUAAUCCGGGUUGCGGACAGUGUCUGGUGGGUAGUUUGACUGGGGCGGUCUCCUCCUAAAGAGUAACGGAGGAGCACGAAGGUUGGCUAAUCCUGGUCGGACAUCAGGAGGUUAGUGCAAUGGCAUAAGCCAGCUUGACUGCGAGCGUGACGGCGCGAGCAGGUGCGAAAGCAGGUCAUAGUGAUCCGGUGGUUCUGAAUGGAAGGGCCAUCGCUCAACGGAUAAAAGGUACUCCGGGGAUAACAGGCUGAUACCGCCCAAGAGUUCAUAUCGACGGCGGUGUUUGGCACCUCGAUGUCGGCUCAUCACAUCCUGGGGCUGAAGUAGGUCCCAAGGGUAUGGCUGUUCGCCAUUUAAAGUGGUACGCGAGCUGGGUUUAGAACGUCGUGAGACAGUUCGGUCCCUAUCUGCCGUGGGCGCUGGAAGACUGAGGGGGGCUGCUCCUAGUACGAGAGGACCGGAGUGGACGCAUCACUGGUGUUCGGGUUGUCAUGCCAAUGGCACUGCCCGGUAGCUAAAUGCGGAAGAGAUAAGUGCUGAAAGCAUCUAAGCACGAAACUUGCCCCGAGAUGAGUCUUCCCUGAGACUUUAAGUCUCCUGAAGGAACGUUAAAGACGAUGACGUUGAUAGGCCGGGGGUGUAAGCGCAGCGAUGCGUUGAGCUAACCGGUACUAAUGAACCGUGAGGCUUAACCUUACAACGCCGAAGCUGUU
RNAcentral lists this ribosomal RNA (748 nucleotides) under Salmonella enterica. RNAcentral describes it as "partial 23S ribosomal RNA". It matches the Rfam family "Bacterial large subunit ribosomal RNA", at positions 2200 to 2925 of the family's 2925-position model. Lineage: Bacteria; Pseudomonadati; Pseudomonadota; Gammaproteobacteria; Enterobacterales; Enterobacteriaceae. The record is from RNAcentral.